This is a non-coding RNA of Dermacentor andersoni, 1315 nucleotides long. The record is from RefSeq and is a predicted model, not a curated record. Lineage: Eukaryota; Metazoa; Arthropoda; Arachnida; Ixodida; Ixodidae.
UCUCCUGGAGCAGUGCUUGUAAAAAAUCCAAGCUAUCGUCGCGACGAAAAAAGCGACCUGCUACUUAUACAACACCAGUCAGAACAUAGGCCCUUCAGACAAAGCGAUCACCAAAUGGGGCGUCCGCGCCCACUGCCUCACCGCGCGGGCAGCCAGCGGCUGAGCGUAAACAAACUCGACCGCACUCCGCAACGCCGGCAUGUCUGGGGACAAACGAAUAUAACAUGCGCUAAGAAACCUCCUCCGUAGUGCCUAGGCAAUCAUAUAUUCAAGGAGCAAAAGCCCCCAGAUUUUUUUCUCUCGCGCCCGCCCUUACAACCUUUCCUUUCUCAGAACGAACCACUUGUAUGUUGCGGUGCCUGAUGUUGUGUCACUUCAUUUCUUAUUCUCACUAUGUCUGCAGUGGCGUCCGGUCGUCAGCCUCGUCAGCAGGCGCAUGCUUUUCAAGAAUGCUCAAGCCAGCCAGCAAGAGAGUGAUGUUCCCUAAGUACGAUUCGCCCUCCAGCCCCACAUAGCAUCGUCCCAUGUGCCUUUAGGAGUGCCAACAAAUUUUCUUCCUCAUUUGAAACAGCCUGUGUAGAAUACUAUAAACCAUUGAGCCUGCCAAUCCCUGUGGAAGCAGCUGCAUCUUUCCCCGAGGUGGUACGAAGAAGGAAGUUCCGUAGCUGUGACCUCAUUGACCAACUGCCUGGGAGUCCCAGUUGUCCAUAGAAGAUUGCAACAAAGUAUUCCAGGUUGAAAAUCAAGCCUUUCUGGUUAGCAGAAAUGGUGGGCCUCCUAAUCAAAACAUGGCCCCAGGGCCCACAACGAACUUUUUGUGGUAGGCCAACCACAGUUCAGUUGUAAUUCCAAUUGGAAAGUAUUGAAAGCACCACAAAUGAGUUUUGUGUGUGUGUGUGUGUGAUAAUGGUAUAGUUUUUGCAGCCAUGAUUUGAGCAAAAUACUAAUCUUUUAGAACAUUGGUUACUACUGGAAAGAUAUAUUCAAGAAAGCAUUGUGAAUGCACCUCUGCUGCCUUUUAAGCUUACAAUUCCGUCCAAGUCUUAGCCUGUUCUUUCUCUGCACUGUUUGCUUUAUUUGAAAAUAAAGUCUACUACAUUUAGUGAUGCUCUUAAAAAAGCUAAUUGGUCAAUGUACCCAUUCUAUAAGCAUUUUAACUAAAACAAUCUUAUUUUUACUUGCAUUGAUAAUUUAGAUUUAUGAGUUCUUUGUAAAGAAGUUGCAUUCACUAAGGACCCACUGUAUUAGUCGUAUUCAUGGCAACCAUACUAAAUCACAUUUGUAUUUAUGAAAUAAACUGCAUUUUUACUGCUCC